RNAcentral lists this ribosomal RNA (302 nucleotides) under uncultured bacterium. RNAcentral's name for it is "partial 16S ribosomal RNA". It matches the Rfam family "Bacterial small subunit ribosomal RNA", at positions 508 to 803 of the family's 1533-position model. The record is from RNAcentral.
GCAGCAGCCACGGUAAUACAGAGGAUGCAAGCGUUAUCCGGAAUGAUUGGGCGUAAAGCGUCUGUAGGUGGCUUUUCAAGUCCGCCGUCAAAUCCCAGGGCUCAACCCUGGACAGGCGGUGGAAACUACCAAGCUGGAGUACGGUAGGGGCAGAGGGUGGUGGAAUUUCCUGUGUAGCGGUGAAAUGCGUAGAGAUCUGGAGGAAUACCGGUGGCGAAGGCGGCCCCCUGGACAAAGACUGACGCUCAGGUGCGAAAGCGUGGGGAGCAAACAGGAUUAGAUACCCCCGUAGUCCCUGUCUC